CCUCGCCCAGCGGGUGGUCUCGGUGGCCUGCGCGCUCGCGGCGCGCAACCGCGGGCUCCGUUCCGUGGCGGCGGC
This 75-nucleotide transfer RNA is filed under the name Streptomyces cellostaticus. RNAcentral's name for it is "tRNA-Ala". The record is from RNAcentral. Lineage: Bacteria; Bacillati; Actinomycetota; Actinomycetes; Kitasatosporales; Streptomycetaceae.